Molecule: small nuclear RNA, 110 nt
Organism: Marmota marmota marmota (Alpine marmot)
Lineage: Eukaryota; Metazoa; Chordata; Mammalia; Rodentia; Sciuridae
Source: Ensembl
AUGCUCACUCACUUCAGCAGCUCAUAGACUAAAAUUGGAAUGAUGCAGAGAAGAUUAGCAUGACCGCUGCAUGAUUGUGGCAUACAAAUUCUCAAGUGUUCCAUAUUUUU